GAUGAACGCUGGCGGCGUGCCUAAUACAUGCAAGUCGAGCGAACAGACGAGGAGCUUGCUCCUCUGACGUUAGCGGCGGACGGGUGAGUAACACGUGGAUAACCUACCUAUAAGACUGGGAUAACUUCGGGAAACCGGAGCUAAUACCGGAUAAUAUAUUGAACCGCAUGGUUCAAUAGUGAAAGACGGUUUUGCUGUCACUUAUAGAUGGAUCCGCGCCGCAUUAGCUAGUUGGUAAGGUAACGGCUUACCAAGGCAACGAUGCGUAGCCGACCUGAGAGGGUGAUCGGCCACACUGGAACUGAGACACGGUCCAGACUCCUACGGGAGGCAGCAGUAGGGAAUCUUCCGCAAUGGGCGAAAGCCUGACCGAGCAACGCCGCGUGAGUGAUGAAGGUCUUCGGAUCGUAAAACUCUGUUAUUAGGGAAGAACAAAAGUGUAAGUAACUAUGCACGUCUUGACGGUACCUAAUCAGAAAGCCACGGCUAACUACGUG
RNAcentral lists this ribosomal RNA (497 nucleotides) under uncultured bacterium. Its description in RNAcentral is "partial 16S ribosomal RNA". It matches the Rfam family "Bacterial small subunit ribosomal RNA", at positions 28 to 507 of the family's 1533-position model. The record is from RNAcentral.